UACGUAUGGAGCAAGCGUUAUCCGGAUUUACUGGGUGUAAAGGGUGCGUAGGUGGCAGUGCAAGUUAGAUGUGAAAGGCCGGGGCUCAACCCCGGAGCUGCAUUUGAAACUGCUCGGCUAGAGUACAGGAGAGGCAGGCGGAAUUCCUAGUGUAGCGGUGAAAUGCGUAGAUAUUAGGAGGAACACCAGUGGCGAAGGCGGCCUGCUGGACUGUUACUGACACUGAGGCACGAAAGCGUGGGGAGCAAACAGG
Molecule: ribosomal RNA, 253 nt
Filed under: Anaerobutyricum hallii
Lineage: Bacteria; Bacillati; Bacillota; Clostridia; Lachnospirales; Lachnospiraceae
Description: partial 16S ribosomal RNA
Rfam family: Bacterial small subunit ribosomal RNA
Source: RNAcentral